This 453-nucleotide ribosomal RNA is filed under the name uncultured bacterium. Its description in RNAcentral is "bacterial SSU rRNA". It matches the Rfam family "Bacterial small subunit ribosomal RNA", at positions 340 to 785 of the family's 1533-position model. The record is from RNAcentral.
UACGGAAGGCAGCAGGGGGGAAUAUUGCACAAUGGGCGCAAGCCUGAUGCAGCCAUGCCGCGUGUAUGAAGAAGGCCUUCGGGUUGUAAAGUACUUUCAGUCGUGAGGAAGGUGUUAAGGUUAAUAACCUUAGCAAUUGACGUUAGCGACAGAAGAAGCACCGGCUAACUCCGUGCCAGCAGCCGCGGUAAUACGGAGGGUGCGAGCGUUAAUCGGAAUUACUGGGCGUAAAGGGCACGCAGGCGGUUAAUUAAGUUGGAUGUGAAAUCCCCGGGCUUAACCUGGGAAUGGCAUUCAAGACUGGUUAGCUAGAGUCUUGUAGAGGGGGUUAGAAUUCCAUGUGUAGCGGUGAAAUGCGUAGAGAUGUGGAGGAAUACCGGUGGCGAAGGCGGCCCCUGGACAAAGACUGACGCUCAUGUGCGAAAGCGUGGGGAGCAAACAGGGAUUAGAUAC